AUACGGAGGGUGCGAGCGUUAAUCGGAAUUACUGGGCGUAAAGCGUGCGUAGGCGGUUUGCUAAGUCAGAUGUGAAAGCCCCGGGCUUAACCUGGGAACUGCAUUUGAUACUGGCAGACUAGAGUAUGAUAGAGGGGGGUAGAAUUCCUGGUGUAGCGGUGAAGUGCGUAGAUAUCAGGAGGAAUACCAGUGGCGAAGGCGGCCCCCUGGAUCAAUACUGCCGCUGAGGUACGAAAGCGUGGGGAGCGAACAGGAUUAGAAACCCUAGUAGUCC
This 274-nucleotide ribosomal RNA is filed under the name uncultured bacterium. Its description in RNAcentral is "partial 16S ribosomal RNA". It matches the Rfam family "Bacterial small subunit ribosomal RNA", at positions 523 to 796 of the family's 1533-position model. The record is from RNAcentral.